AGGAUCAUUAUCGUACAACGGGGGUGCGAGGGCUGUCGCUGACCUUUCAAAAGGUUGUGCACGCCCGAGCACUCUCACGCAAUCCAUCUCACCCCUUUGUGCAUCACCGCGUGGGUCCCCUUUGCAGGAGGGCUCACGUUUUCACACAAAACUUGAUACAGUGUAGAAUGUUACCUUUUGCGGUCACACGCAAUCAAUACAACUUUCAACAACGGAUCUCUUGGCUCUCGCAUCGAUGAAGAACGCAGCGAAAUGCGAUACGUAAUGUGAAUUGCAGAAUUCAGUGAAUCAUCGAAUCUUUGAACGCACCUUGCGCCCCUUGGCAUUCCGAGGGGCACACCCGUUUGAGUGUCGUGAAAUCAUCAAAAAUCUUUUUUUUUUGUUUACCAGAAAAGGAUUUUUGGACUUGGAGGUUUAAUGCUCGUCUUUCACUUUUGAAAGUGAGCUCCUCUCAAAUGAAUUAGUGGGGUCCGCUUUGCUGGUCCUUGACGUGAUAAGAUGUUUCUACGUUUUGGAUUUAGCACUGUCCCUUUGGAUUCCUGCUCCUAACUGUCCAACGGACAAAGGAUGGUGCUCCGGUCACCGCCGUCUACAUUGGCGGGGGAGGGCUGGGCCCACGAAAGAAAACCUUGACCUCAAAUCGGGUGAGACUACCCGCUGAACUUAAGCAUAUCAAUAAGCGGAGGAAAAGAAACUAACAAGGAUUCCCCUAGUAACUGCGAGUGAAGCGGGAAAAGCUCAAAUUUAAAAUCUGAUGGUCUUUGGCCGUCCGAGUUGUAAUUUAGAGAAGCGUCUUCCGCGCUGGACCGUGCACAAGUCUCCUGGAAUGGAGCGUCAUAGAGGGUGAGAAUCCCGUCUUUGGCACGGACACACAGGGCUUUUGUGAUGCGCUCUCGAAGAGUCGAGUUGUUUGGGAAUGCAGCUCAAAAUGGGUGGUGAACUCCAUCUAAAGCUAAAUAUUGGCGAGAGACCGAUAGCGAACAAGUACCGUGAGGGAAAGAUGAAAAGCACUUUGGAAAGAGAGUGAAACAGUACGUGAAAUUGUUGAAAGGGAAACGCUUGAAGUCAGUCGCGUCGCCCGAGACUCAGCCUCGCCUCGGCUUGGUGUAAUUCUCGGCUGACGGGUCAGCAUCAAUUUUGCCUCUUGGAUAAUGGCAAGGGAAAUGUGACACCUUUACGGUGUGUUAUAGUCUCUCGUCGCAUGCAAGGGUUGGGAUUGAGGAACUCAGCACGCGCCUUCGGGUGUCGGGGGUUUUUGCCCACGA
RNAcentral lists this ribosomal RNA (1265 nucleotides) under uncultured Russula. RNAcentral describes it as "eukaryotic LSU rRNA". The stretch from base 631 to 1265 matches the Rfam family "Eukaryotic large subunit ribosomal RNA", at positions 1 to 634 of the family's 3401-position model. Lineage: Eukaryota; Fungi; Basidiomycota; Agaricomycetes; Russulales; Russulaceae. The record is from RNAcentral.